Molecule: ribosomal RNA, 501 nt
Filed under: uncultured bacterium
Lineage: Bacteria
Description: partial 16S ribosomal RNA
Rfam family: Bacterial small subunit ribosomal RNA
Source: RNAcentral
AUUGAACGCUGGCGGCAGGCUUAACACAUGCAAGUCGAGCGGGGGAAGGUAGCUUGCUACUGGACCUAGCGGCGGACGGGUGAGUAAUGCUUAGGAAUCUGCCUAUUAGUGGGGGACAACAUCUCGAAAGGGAUGCUAAUACCGCAUACGUCCUACGGGAGAAAGCAGGGGAUCUUCGGACCUUGCGCUAAUAGAUGAGCCUAAGUCGGAUUAGCUAGUUGGUGGGGUAAAGGCCUACCAAGGCGACGAUCUGUAGCGGGUCUGAGAGGAUGAGCGGCCACACUGGGACUGGGACCCGGCCCGGAGUCCUACGGGAGGCAGCAGUGGGGAAUAUUGGACAAUGGGGGGAACCCUGAUCCAGCCAUGCCGCGUGUGUGAAGAAGGCCUUAUGGUUGUAAAGCACUUUAAGCGAGGAGGAGGCUACUUUAGUUAAUACCUAGAGAUAGUGGACGUUACUCGCAGAAUAAGCACCGGCUAACUCUGUGCCAGCCGCCGCGGUAA